Molecule: ribosomal RNA, 324 nt
Filed under: uncultured eukaryote
Lineage: Eukaryota
Description: partial 18S ribosomal RNA
Rfam family: Eukaryotic small subunit ribosomal RNA
Source: RNAcentral
CCCUUAGAUGUUCUGGGCCGCACACGCGCUACACUGAAGGAGGCAGCGUGUACUCCUGGAUCGAAAGAUUUGGGUAACCCGCGAAUCUCCUUCGUGCUAGGGAUUGAGGUUUGCAAUUAUCCUUCAUGAACGAGGAAUUCCCAGUAAGUGCAAGUCAUAAGCUUGCGCUGACUACGUCCCUGCCCUUUGUACACACCGCCCGUCGCUCCUACCGAUUGAGCAAACCGGUGAAUAGUUUGGACCGUCGGCUUUCUCGGUUCGCCGGGUUAGCAGUGCGGAAAAUUCAGUGAACCUUUUUGCUUAGAGGAAGGAGAAGUCGUAACA